GACGAACGCUGGCGGCGUGCUUAACACAUGCCAGUCGAACGGAAAGGCCCUGCUUUUGUGGGGUGCUCGAGUGGCGAACGGGUGAGUAACACGUGAGUAACCUGCCCUUGACUUUGGGAUAACUUCAGGAAACUGGGGCUAAUACCGGAUAGGAGCUCCUGCUGCAUGGUGGGGGUUGGAAAGUUUCGGCGGUUGGGGAUGGACUCGCGGCUUAUCAGCUUGUUGGUGGGGUAGUGGCUUACCAAGGCUUUGACGGGUAGCCGGCCUGAGAGGGUGACCGGCCACAUUGGGACUGAGAUACGGCCCAGACUCCUACGGGAGGCAGCAGUGGGGAAUAUUGCACAAUGGGCGGAAGCCUGAUGCAGCAACGCCGCGUGCUGGAUGACGGCCUUCGGGUUGUAAACCGCUUUCGCCUGUGACGAAGCGUGAGUGACGGUAAUGGGUAAAGAAGCACCGGCUAACUACGUG
RNAcentral lists this ribosomal RNA (468 nucleotides) under uncultured bacterium. RNAcentral's name for it is "partial 16S ribosomal RNA". It matches the Rfam family "Bacterial small subunit ribosomal RNA", at positions 28 to 507 of the family's 1533-position model. The record is from RNAcentral.